CCAGUGACUUUGUUCAACGGCCGCGGUAUCCUAACCGUGCGAAGGUAGCGUAAUCACUUGUUCUUUAAAUGAGGACUAGUAUGAAUGGCACCACGAAGGUUAUACUGUCUCCUUUCUUUAAUCAGUGAAACUAAUCUCUCCGUGAAGAAGCGGGGAUAUAAUUAUAAGACGAGAAGACCCUAUGGAGCUUUAAACGUGAGUAACAAUUGCCCGCCAUAAUAUUUUUCCCCGGAAACUAACCGCAAUACUUAGGCAUCUUGAUUACAAGUUUUAGGUUGGGGUGACCGCGGAGCAGAAAAUAACCUCCGCAGUGAAUGGAACUUACUUCCUAAACCCAGGGCUACGACCCUAAGCAUCAAUAAAUUGACACUAAUUGACCCAAUAUUUUUGAUCAAUGAACCAAGUUACCCUAGGGAUAACAGCGCAAUCCACUUCAAGAGCCCCUAUCGACAAGUGGGUUUACGACCUCGAUGUUGGAUCAGGGUAUCCCAGUGGUGCAGCCGCUACUAAAGGUUCGUUUGUUCAACGAUUAAAACCCUACGUGAUCU
RNAcentral lists this ribosomal RNA (548 nucleotides) under Leptodactylus luctator. RNAcentral's name for it is "partial 16S ribosomal RNA". It matches the Rfam family "Bacterial large subunit ribosomal RNA", at positions 1863 to 2606 of the family's 2925-position model. The record is from RNAcentral. Lineage: Eukaryota; Metazoa; Chordata; Amphibia; Anura; Leptodactylidae.